UCAGCGGGGGCAUGUGCACGCUCUGUUAACACAUCCACUCACACCCUGUGCACCCUCUGUAGUUCUGUGGUUGGGGGACCCAUCCUCCUGCUGUGGUUCUGCAUCUUUACACACACACACUGUAACAAAGUCUCAUGGAAUGCAUCUGCGUUUAACGCAAUACAAUACAACUUUCAGCAACGGAUCUCUUGGCUCUCGCAUCGAUGAAGAACGCAGCGAAAUGCGAUAAGUAAUGUGAAUUGCAGAAUUCAGUGAAUCAUCGAAUCUUUGAACGCACCUUGCGCCCUUUGGCCAUUCCGAAGGGCAUGCCUGUUUGAGUAUCAUGAACACCUCAACUCUUCAUGGUUUUCCGUGAUGAGCUUGGACUUUGGGGGUUUUGCUGGCCUUCGGUCGGCUCCUCUAAAAUGAAUCAGCUUGCCAGUGUUUGGUGGGCAUCACAGGUGUGAUAACUAUCUACGCUUGUGGUUUUCCCACCAGGUAACCUUCAGCAGUGGAGGUUCGCUGGAGCUCACAGAUGUCUCUCCUCAGUGAGGACAGCCCUUUGAAUGUUGAUCUCAAAUCAGGUAGA
Molecule: ribosomal RNA, 568 nt
Filed under: uncultured Tomentella
Lineage: Eukaryota; Fungi; Basidiomycota; Agaricomycetes; Thelephorales; Thelephoraceae
Description: eukaryotic LSU rRNA
Rfam family: 5.8S ribosomal RNA (bases 169-323)
Source: RNAcentral